AGUGAACGCUGGCGGUAGGCCUAACACAUGCAAGUCGAACGGCAGCACAGUAAGAGUUUGCUCUUACGGGUGGCGAGUGGCGGACGGGUGAGGAAUACAUCGGAAUCUACUUUUUCGUGGGGGAUAACGUAGGGAAACUUACGCUAAUACCGCAUACGACCUACGGGUGAAAGCAGGGGAUCUUCGGACCUUGCGCGAUUGAAUGAGCCGAUGUCGGAUUAGCUAGUUGGCGGGGUAAAGGCCCACCAAGGCGACGAUCCGUAGCUGGUCUGAGAGGAUGAUCAGCCACACUGGAACUGAGACACGGUCCAGACUCCUACGGGAGGCAGCAGUGGGGAAUAUUGGACAAAGGGCACAAGCCUGAUCCAGCCAUACCGCGUGGGUGAAGAAGGCCUUCGGGUUGUAAAGCCCUUUUGUUGGGAAAGAAAAGCAGCAGGUUAAUACCCCGCUGUUCUGACGGUACCCAAAGAAUAAGCACCGGCUAACUUCGUG
This 492-nucleotide ribosomal RNA is filed under the name uncultured bacterium. Its description in RNAcentral is "partial 16S ribosomal RNA". It matches the Rfam family "Bacterial small subunit ribosomal RNA", at positions 29 to 507 of the family's 1533-position model. The record is from RNAcentral.